AUAUCAAUAAGCGGAGGAAAAGAAACUAACUAGGAUUCCCUCAGUAACGGCGAGUGAAGAGGGAAGAGCCCAGCACCGAAGCCUGCGGCAGAUUUGCUGUUAGGCAAUGUGGUGUGUGGGUCGGCUAGCGGGACCGUCACUCCACUCGAAGUCCAGCAUUGAGUAUGGUUUUCACUGGAUUUGGCCCAUAGAGGGUGAGAGGCCCGUACGGGUGGAGGCUCAGACAUGUAAGACGGUUCACCAGGUCGACCUCAGAGUCGGGUUGUUUGAGAUUGCAGCCCAAAGUGGGUGGUAAACUCCAUCCAAGGCUAAAUACUAGCACGAGUCCGAUAGCGAACAAGUACCGUGAGGGAAAGUUGAAAAGUACUCUGAAGAGAGAGUAAACAGUACGUGAAGCCGCAUGCAGGUAAACGGGUGGCGUCAAGCUGCGAGCCCGGAGGAUUCAGCUGACUGGGAUGUAGUGUACGCGCCUGGUGCGUCAAGUGGCCAGAGUAAGAUGUGGUAGUUCUCUCCUCUGCUGGGAGGGAAGUGCGGUUGAGGUGGUGCCUUCUCCGUUUCGGCGGUGUUGGUGCAACUCAAUUGUCGCUAUGCGUGCUGGUUUGUCGCCAGUGCAUGCUACUCGUCUGUUGGGCCGCCUAGUCAGUGCACUUUCUCCGUGGUGAACACCACGACCGGUGGUAUUGCCAGUCUGCUGUAGUCAAGUUAUACCCCUCUCUUGUCUCCUCCUGCUAUAGCUCUGUCUGCUACUGCAUGUGUUGUGUAACAGCAAUGUGUGUAGUGGUGGCUGAGUGGGGUGGGACUGGUAGAUGGAUGAGUGGGUAUAAUCGCAGACGGAUUGAAUGAACGGCGUAGUGGUGCCUCGGUACUGCUGCGUGUUAUCGUGCAUUCGCCGUUGUAAAYGAGACCGGCUGGGUGUGUUGUAACUGCACCUGUUGGUUUUUCUCGGCGGACUAUGGUGGUGAAAAUGACUGUGCAAGGCACCGGGGUUAUCCACCUCAUUGCUCUCUCUCUCUCGUUUGAGCAAUGGUAUUCGGCACGCACGUUACAGGUGCAUUGUUUGGAUCUGGGGCGCGUGGCUGCCUGUAGGUGUUGGACCUGACUGUCGUGUUGCCUACAAAAAGUAGGUCCGAUAGUGGUUGCAGACGCCUUGCAGUGUGCAGCUAUUAUAAACGCUGUCUUCCAGGGUGCCUGUAAUACCGGGGGUGAAAUAGUCAGUGGUGCUGUGGUAGACGAGCUACCCGACCCGUCUUGAAACACGGACCAAGGAGUUUAACAUGUGUGCGAGUCAAAGGGUCCUACGAAACCCCGAGGCGCAGUGAAAGUGAAGUUCGUGCUGUGUGUACGCGCACUGACACUGACACGCAGUGCAGCACGACGUGGUGAGAUCCCGCUGUUAGUCGCAGUAGCCAGGUGUCGUUAUUAAAUCGCCAGGCAUAAGGGCAGUGGGCGCAUCACCGGCCCGUCCCAUGAUGUGGUCAUAGGUGUAUUAUUGGUCAGUGUAGGCUGUGUGUGUGGCAACAUGCAUGCAGAAUGCAUUGGCUAGCCUGUGCGUCAUCGGGGCGGAGCAUGAGCACACAUGUUGAGACCCGAAAGAUGGUGAACUAUGCUUGCGUAGGUUGAAGCCAGAGGAAACUCUGGUGGAGGACCGUAGCGAUUCUGACGUGCAAAUCGAUCGUCAAACGUGAGUAUAGGGGCGAAAGACUAAUCGAACCAUCUAGUAGCUGGUUCCCUC
This 1732-nucleotide ribosomal RNA is filed under the name Paradilepis scolecina. Its description in RNAcentral is "partial large subunit ribosomal RNA". It matches the Rfam family "Eukaryotic large subunit ribosomal RNA", at positions 40 to 961 of the family's 3401-position model. Lineage: Eukaryota; Metazoa; Platyhelminthes; Cestoda; Cyclophyllidea; Gryporhynchidae. The record is from RNAcentral.